This 406-nucleotide ribosomal RNA is filed under the name uncultured bacterium. RNAcentral's name for it is "partial 16S ribosomal RNA". It matches the Rfam family "Bacterial small subunit ribosomal RNA", at positions 30 to 526 of the family's 1533-position model. The record is from RNAcentral.
AUUGAACGCUGGCGGCAGGCCUAACACAUGCAAGUCGAGCGAGCGGCGGACGGGUGAGUAAUGUCUGGGGAUCUGCCCGAUGGAGGGGGAUAACUACUGGAAACGGUAGCUAAUACCGCAUACCAUCGGAUGUGCCCAUAUGGGAUUAGCUAGUAGGUGGGGUAAAGGCUCACCUAGGCGACGAUCCCUAGCUGGUCUGAGAGGAUGACCAGCCACACGGGGACUGAGACACGGCCCAGACUCCUACGGGAGGCAGCAGUGGGGAAUAUUGCACAAUGGGCGCAAGCCUGAUGCAGCCAUGCCGCGUGUAUGAAGAAGGCCUUAGGGUUGUAAAGUACUUUCAGCGGGGAGGCGUUACCCGCAGAAGAAGCACCGGCUAACUCCGUGCCAGCCGCCGCGGUAAUAC